Molecule: non-coding RNA, 172 nt
Filed under: human gut metagenome
Description: malK-I RNA
Rfam family: malK-I RNA
Source: RNAcentral
CCCGGCUACUCCAUUACCAUAGCCGGCGGAAGGAGACAAAAGGAGGAAAAGAACGCCGCCGGGCCGGCGGUGCGGCAGUGUGGAGACCUGCCGUAAGGCUGUGGAGGCAACGCCCCUCCACGGCGAGAGGGAGCGCGCGGAGGCGGCUCACUCACGGCCUUUCGCUAUGGCA